RNAcentral lists this ribosomal RNA (171 nucleotides) under uncultured bacterium. RNAcentral's name for it is "partial 16S ribosomal RNA". It matches the Rfam family "Bacterial small subunit ribosomal RNA", at positions 1330 to 1500 of the family's 1533-position model. The record is from RNAcentral.
AAUUGCUAGUAAUCGUGGAUCAGCAUGCCACGGUGAAUACGUUCCCGGGUCUUGUACACACCGCCCGUCACACCAUGGGAGCUGGUAACACCCGAAGUCAGUAGUCUAACCGCAAGGAGGACGCUGCCGAAGGUGGGAUUAGCGACUGGGGUGAAGUCGUAACAAGGUACC